UUAGGGAUUAUACCAAUUACGGGAUCAAAUAGCAAAAUAAUUCAAUAAAAUAUUAACUUACGCGUUAACUUUACGUUAAUGAAAUACAGUCAAACCUGUCAGUAACGGCCACUAAAAUGAAAGAACUAUUGGCCGAUAUAGAAAGGUGGCCGUUAUUGCCAGUUUUUGUAGUCUAGAUAUACAGUAAAACUUGUGUUACUGGCCACCUGAUAAAAUCGGCCACCUGUACUAACGGCCGGUUUAAAUAUUCCCCAAACCAAUUAUAUCUGGACUACAAAAACUGGCAAUACCGGUCACCUUUCUAUAUCGGCCAAUAGCUUUUUCAUUUUUAGUGGCCGUUACUGACAGGUUUUACUGUAAUUGGUUUGGGGAAUUUUUAAACUGACCGUUAGUACAGGUGGCCGGUGUUUGCAGGGGGCCGGUAACACAGGUUUUACUGUAGUUUAAAUCGAAAAGAUUAAAUCUUAAUUCAAAAUUGUAUAUACAAUUAUUACAAUUAUAAACAAACUAUAUAGUUUAAUAUCCAAAACAUGUUUUUGAUUUUAUGUAAUUUAAUGAAAAUCUUAUUUGUAAAUUAUUGGUUACAAUGUUUAACAAUAGGAAAUAUUCAAGAAUAAAUAAAAUAAAAGUUUAAUCCUAACAACACAAAACAUUCCAGGAAUAUAGGUACUACCGUUCUAUUCCGUGAACAUCUAUCUGAUUAAAUUAUGGGUGGAAAGUUACCACAAGAUAUUCUAUGAACAUAGUACAAUGUCUUCCUGGAGGGGUAAAAUUUUCCAUUACAAGAUUUUAAGAGAGGCCAUUUACUGUUCAAUUUGCGUUCAUUUUCAAAUUUGCCGCGCGAGUAUCUAUGUAGCGUCGCGUGGUCAUUGGUCAUCACUUAGACAAGGAAAGAGAGGGUCAUCACAUUUCAUUUUCAUAAGAUAACGGAUAACCUAAAAAUUUAGUAAAAAUUUUGAUUGGAAAAAAAUGCAUCGAUAAGGGGGUGUGGGAAAUGGAAAUUAGUGGCUUUUCUGCUGUACUGUCUGCUAGUCAAAUCACACAACACUUUUUUCUAUGCUGCUAGUUUUUGCUCUGGGCUCUGGCUGGAUCUCUUGUUUAAACAAUUUUAAUCAGCUGAAAGUGGCCUACAAAAAAAAAACCAAGAAGGAAAUGUAUAGCCUUGUGGCUAUGAAAGGCAAAAGAGAGAUAUAAAAAGUGUAUUGGCUAGUUGGAAGAAAGUCCACAUUGUCCAUGCAUAAUAAGUUAUUACUUUAUCAACAAAUAUCAAGAAGAUAGCAGGGUCAUGAGCAACAACUUCAUAAGUUCAAGAAUAUCGAGGAAAUCCAGCUCCUCGAUACUACUGGGCAAACUAGAAGAUUGAAGAGGACAAAGCCUUUUGAACUAGUUUGAGUGAUAGGUGAUAGUGAAAAACGGAGCAUAGUGCUUGUGUGCUGUGCCUGUGUAUGUUAGAAUAGUGCACGAUCUUGUUAGAUUAGAUAAGAGACGCUAUGGGGUAAGCUCUUCAUUUUAAGAAACAGUAGUAAUUUAGGUUAAAUUAAAAUUGCUCAUUGGUCAGUUAUGACCAGAUUGUUUUUUUAUGUUUGGCAAAAAGGACUUAAGUCAGAAUUGCACAUUGAUAAUGUUUUGAUGAUUUCUGGACCAGAAAAAAACUGUUGUAGAUGUAAACUGUAUGUACAGUAGAAUCUACUACAGUACUGUAGAAAUUAUCAAAACAUUAUCGAUGUGCAAUUCUGACUUAAGCCCUUUUUCCCAAACAUCAGAGAAUUGUAAUGUACAAUAAUUCUCCUAUCUGCUUUUUCAUGAAUUUUGUAGGAGAUGAAAAACCAUUUUUAGGAUCAUCUGCUUUCACAUGUAAAUUUUGACAUUUUUUGUAGUAAAUAGAUAGUUGAAUUUACUACAAAACAUGUCAAAAAAUAUAUGAAAACAGGAGGUGACUAUAAAAAAAGUCUUUAGUCUCUUACAAAACUCAUGAAAAAACAAAUCGGAGGUAUGUCACAUCAGUGACUAUAUCCAGGGAAUGUCUAAAAAAUAUACUUUGAUGUCCCAAGAACCAAAUAUAACCUACAGUCCAUCUAAUUUACUUACUGUUGCAGGUCAUUAUCUACGCCAGAGAUCUAAGUUGACAUAGUUGCCAAAGUAUAAAAAGAUCCUGAAUCCAUUUUAAAUCAAAUAUAUCACAUAAUUAUUGUAAACGUGGAUUAUACAACAAAACAAAUUAAUAUUCAAUGUAAAUAAGUAAAAACUUAAGAAAUAGAGAUCAAGAAUUAAGUUAUAAUCUUUUAAGAUUUGCAGUGCAAGAGUUUUUGCACUGCAUUGUUAAUAAUUAAAAAACGGCUCCGAACUCUUGGCAAAAAGCUGGUAGGUUUCUUUGUAUAAGUUUGUCUACAAUAACAACUAAAAAAGUUGUCAGAUACCUCGAUUAUUCCAAGUCGUUAUAAAAUUAGGUGAAAUUUAUAUUUUUAUAAUAGAGGAUCUUUUUAUAGUAAAGUAAAUAAUAAAAACAGUAAAUAUAAUAAAUAAAACAGAUACUUAUAGUAAAGAAUAUAAACAAAUAUGAAGUGUCAUCACCGUAACUAUCAAAUAAAUGUUACCAAUUUAUUCUAAAAUGUCACCUUCGUUCGAUUACAGUUACAGUGUGAUCCGAACAAAUCUGCUUCAUAAAAACGCUUUAUAAUCCAUUUAUACAAAUUAAAUGAAACAUAUUAUUGUGUAUUUCUUUAGGUUAACAUUAAUAGAAAUCUUCAAAUAUUAUUUCUACGCGUAUAUAAUAAAAUAUGUCUAGUGGCUGUAAUUCCAUUGUACUCGGCAAA
RNAcentral lists this long non-coding RNA (2813 nucleotides) under Diabrotica virgifera virgifera (western corn rootworm). RNAcentral describes it as "uncharacterized LOC126886523". The record is from RNAcentral. Lineage: Eukaryota; Metazoa; Arthropoda; Insecta; Coleoptera; Chrysomelidae.